This 469-nucleotide ribosomal RNA is filed under the name uncultured bacterium. RNAcentral describes it as "SSU rRNA". It matches the Rfam family "Bacterial small subunit ribosomal RNA", at positions 26 to 518 of the family's 1533-position model. The record is from RNAcentral.
AGGACGAACGCUGGCGGCGUGCUUAACACAUGCAAGUCGAACGAGGUGCUUCGGCACUUAGUGGCGAACGGGUGAGUAACACGUGAGCAACCUGCCCUUGGCUCUGGGAUAGCCUCCGGAAACGGGGAUUAAUACCGGACAUGACCUUCUCCUGCAUGGGGGAGGGUGGAAAGUUUUUCGGCCAGGGAGGGGCUCGCGGCCUAUCAGCUUGUUGGGGGGGUAACGGCCCACCAAGGCGACGACGGGUAGCCGGCCUGAGAGGGCGACCGGCCACACUGGGACUGAGACACGGCCCAGACUCCUACGGGAGGCAGCAGUGGGGAAUAUUGCACAAUGGGGGAAACCCUGAUGCAGCGACGCCGCGUGCGGGAUGAAGGCCUUCGGGUUGUAAACCGCUUUCACCGAGGGACGAAGCGAGAGUGACGGUACCUGGGGAAGAAGCGCCGGCUAACUACGUGCCAGCAGCCGC